AGGAGGAACAACCCCAGUGGUGGCGGCAGCUCUGGAAAUCUGGAUUCAGCUCCCACAGUAACUACAGAGCUCUCAGCCUGCAGGGCCUGGAGGCUCCGGGGCGGG
This 105-nucleotide microRNA precursor is filed under the name Canis lupus dingo (dingo). RNAcentral describes it as "mir-8834 microRNA precursor family". It matches the Rfam family "mir-8834 microRNA precursor family". The record is from Rfam by way of RNAcentral. Lineage: Eukaryota; Metazoa; Chordata; Mammalia; Carnivora; Canidae.